CCUACGGGAGGCAGCAGUGAGGAAUAUUGGUCAAUGGACGAAAGUCUGAACCAGCCAUGCCGCGUGCAGGAAGACGGCUCUAUGAGUUGUAAACUGCUUUUGUACAAGAGUAAACCUAAAUACGUGUAUUCCGCUGAAAGUACUGUACGAAUAAGGAUCGGAUAACUCCGUGCCAGCAGCCGCGGUAAUACGGAGGAUCCACGGGUUAUCCGGAUUUAUUGGGUGUAAAGGGUGCGUAGGCGGAUUGAUAAGUUAGAGGUGAAAUGUACGGGCUCAACUCGGGAACUGCCUCUAAUACUGUUGAUCUAGAGAGUAGAUGCGGUAGGCGGAAGGUAUGGUGUAGGGGGGAAAUGCUUAGAGAUCAUACAGAACACCGAUUGCGAAGGCAGCUUACCAAGCUAUAUCUGACGUUGAGGCACGAAAGCGUGGGGAGCAAACAGGAUUAGAUACCCCAGUAGUC
This 460-nucleotide ribosomal RNA is filed under the name uncultured bacterium. RNAcentral's name for it is "partial 16S ribosomal RNA". It matches the Rfam family "Bacterial small subunit ribosomal RNA", at positions 338 to 795 of the family's 1533-position model. The record is from RNAcentral.